This 584-nucleotide long non-coding RNA is filed under the name Setaria italica (foxtail millet). RNAcentral's name for it is "long non-coding RNA (SITA_LNC001761)". Lineage: Eukaryota; Viridiplantae; Streptophyta; Magnoliopsida; Poales; Poaceae. The record is from RNAcentral.
ACGACACCCAUGGGACUUUUGUGGGCACAAAUUUUCAGCCCGACAUGAACUGGGCUUUUUCAGCCCAGCCCGGCCCGCAAAAUGCUCAAUUCUAGAUUCACCCAACCAAAUAAAAAGAUCAUUAUUGUACGUGAACCAUACGAUACAAGCAACCAAACACACUCCAUCCGGUUCCUGAAUAAAUAAAGAAUUGCCUCGUCAUCUUUCAUCUCUAUUAGACUGAUUCACUAUACUACUACUAUGGUAGCCAGGGGUCAUUUACGUAUCCGCCCCUUGAAGACGCCAAAAGGCAAACAGAUGGCAUCGGCCUUAUCCUGUGGCGGUACGUUAUCCAAUAUUCAAGCUGCCAAGUGGCCAGUGGCCACCUAUACAUAUCAUACUAUACACGCACACAGUAGUAUCGCACUACAACGGAUAGGAGUAAUGUUUUCUUUUGGCCCGAGGAAGAUAUAUAUAUAUAUAUAUAUAUAUAUAUAUAUAUAUAUAUAUAUAUAUAUAUAUAUAUAUAUAUAUAUAUAUAUAUAUAUAUAUAUAUAUAUAUAUAUAGCAUCAGUACUUCCACGCGACCAACCUUUGAAUUUCGC